Molecule: ribosomal RNA, 374 nt
Filed under: uncultured organism
Description: partial 16S ribosomal RNA
Rfam family: Bacterial small subunit ribosomal RNA
Source: RNAcentral
GUAGGUGGCAAGCGUUGUCCGGAAUUAUUGGGCGUAAAGCGCGCGCAGGCGGUUCUUUAAGUCUGAUGUGAAAGCCCACGGCUCAACCGUGGAGGGUCAUUGGAAACUGGAGAACUUGAGUACAGAAGAGGAAAGCGGAAUUCCACGUGUAGCGGUGAAAUGCGUAGAGAUGUGGAGGAACACCAGUGGCGAAGGCGGCUUUCUGGUCUGUAACUGACGCUGAGGCGCGAAAGCGUGGGGAGCAAACAGGAUUAGAUACCCUGGUAGUCCACGCCGUAAACGAUGAGUGCUAAGUGUUAGGGGGGUUUCCGCCCCCCUUAGUGCUGCAGCUAACGCAUUAAGCACUCCGCCCUGGGAGUACGGCCGCAAGGCUG